UCGGAAGCGACUGCGGAGACAUUAA
RNAcentral lists this ribosomal RNA (25 nucleotides) under Ramaria concolor. RNAcentral's name for it is "partial 18S ribosomal RNA". The record is from RNAcentral. Lineage: Eukaryota; Fungi; Basidiomycota; Agaricomycetes; Gomphales; Gomphaceae.